AGAGUUUGAUCAUGGCUCAGAACGAACGCUGGCGGCAGGCUUAACACAUGCAAGUCGAGCGCGUGUAGCAAUACACGAGCGGCGCACGGGUGAGUAACGCGUGGAUAUCUGCCUUUUGGUUCGGAAUAACCCCGGGAAACUGGGGCUAAUACCGGAUGGUUCCUACGGGAUAAAGAUUUAUCGCCAAAAGAUGAGUCCGCGUCCGAUUAGCUAGUUGGUGAGGUAACGGCUCACCAAGGCGACGAUCGGUAGCUGGUCUGAGAGGACGAUCAGCCACACUGGGACUGAGACACGGCCCAGACUCCUACGGGAGGCAGCAGUGGGGAAUAUUGGACAAUAGGGGCAACCCUGAUCCAGCCAUGCCGCGUGAGUGAUGAAGGCCUUCGGGUUGUAAAGCUCUUUUGGCGGGGACGAUGAUGACGGUACCCGCAGAAUAAGCCCCGGCUAACUUCGUGCCAGCAGCCGCGGUAAGACGAAGGGGGCUAGCGUUGUUCGGAAUUACUGGGCGUAAAGCGCGUGUAGGCGGUUGUCCAAGUUGGAUGUGAAAGCCUUGAGCUCAACUCAAGAAAUGCAUUCAGGACUGGAUGACUAGAGGACCGGAGAGGAUAGUGGAAUUCCCAGUGUAGUGGUGAAAUACGUAGAGAUUGGGAAGAACACCAGUGGCGAAGGCGGCUAUCUGGACGGUUUCUGACGCUAAGACGCGAAAGCGUGGGGAGCAAACAGGAUUAGAUACCCUAGUAGUCC
RNAcentral lists this ribosomal RNA (744 nucleotides) under uncultured bacterium. Its description in RNAcentral is "bacterial SSU rRNA". It matches the Rfam family "Bacterial small subunit ribosomal RNA", at positions 8 to 796 of the family's 1533-position model. The record is from RNAcentral.